AGAGUUUGAUCCUGGCUCAGGGUAAACGCUGGCGGCGUGCCUAAAACAUGCAAGUCGCACGGGGGUUUCGGCUCCAGUGGCAGACGGCUGAGUAACGCGUGGGUGACCUGCCUGGAAGUGGGGAAUAACUGCCCGAAAGGGUGGCUAAUACCGCAUGAGCUCGUUGGUGUCAUUGCUGACGAGGAAAGCCGCAAGGCGCUUCGAGAGGGGCCCGCGUCCGAUUAGCUAGUUGGUGGGGUAACGGCCUACCAAGGCGACGAUCGGUACCUGGUCUGAGAGGAUGAUCAGGCAGACUGGGACUGUGACACGGCCCAGACUCCUACGGGAGGCAGCAGUUAGGAAUUUUGGGCAAUGGGCGCAAGCCUGACCCAGCAACGCCGCGUGGGUGACGACGGCCUUCGGGUUGUAAAGCCCUUUUCUGCGGGAAGAUAGUGACGGUACCGCAGGAAUAAGCACCGGCUAACUACGUGCCAGCAGCCGCGGUAAUACGUAGGGUGCAAGCGUUGCCCGGAUUUAUUGGGCGUAAAGGGCGCGUAGGCGGCCGAGCGCGUCAUGCGUGAAAUCUCCCGGCUUAACUGGGAGGGGUCGUGUGAUACGGCUUGGCUGGAGCAAGGUAGGGGGCAGUGGAACUCCUAGUGUAGAGGUGGAAUUCGUAGAUAUUAGGAAGAACCCAGUGGCGAAGGCGGCUUACUGGUCCGGAACUGACGCUGAGGUGCGAAAGCGUGGGGAGCAAACAGGAUUAGAUACCCUAGUAGUCC
Molecule: ribosomal RNA, 758 nt
Filed under: uncultured bacterium
Lineage: Bacteria
Description: bacterial SSU rRNA
Rfam family: Bacterial small subunit ribosomal RNA
Source: RNAcentral